AGCGAACGCUGGCGGCAGGCCUAACACAUGCAAGCCGAACGGACCCUUCGGGGUUAGUGGCGGACGGGUGAGUAACACGUGGGAACGUGCCUUUAGGUUCGGAAUAGCUCCUGGAAACGGGUGGUAAUGCCGAAUGUGCCCUUCGGGGGAAAGAUUUAUCGCCUUUAGAGCGGCCCGCGUCUGAUUAGCUUGUUGGUGAG
This 200-nucleotide ribosomal RNA is filed under the name uncultured bacterium. Its description in RNAcentral is "partial 16S ribosomal RNA". It matches the Rfam family "Bacterial small subunit ribosomal RNA", at positions 29 to 256 of the family's 1533-position model. The record is from RNAcentral.